GGAGCAGGUUUGGGGAGGGAGGCACUGUAAAGGAAAGAGAUAGUACGUGGUGGAAAGUAAGCAAGGAAAUUCAGAAGGAACCGGGUGAAAGCUAAAAAUAUAGGAGAGAACUUUAUGACAAGAUAGAGGUAAAAGAAUGGAGUACGCUUGAUAAGUGUUUAUGGAGACCAACCUGUGAAAACAAGUAACUGAAGAAAAAGGAGAUAGAAGAGUCAUGGGGUGAAAAGGCUAAUAAAGUAGAAGGUGUGAAAUAUAUGGAAGCAGGAACGCUAAGAAAAAAAUAAGGACGUGAAAGAGUAAAGAGGCAGUGUUAAGACACCCAAGGAGACAAGGGGGGUUGGGAUAUAAAGAGGGGUGACAGGAAAUACAAAAAAACGAAGAAAAAGAAAUUGAGGAAUGCAGAAAGCAACGAUGUGAGAUAAAAGCAGACUGGGAGCGACUCGACGCCAAGAGGGGCAACAAGAAGGGGAACCGGAGUGCUGGGUGAUGGGAGGGGGGUCCAAUAUGGAGGAGGAAAAGGAAGCUCUCGUUGAGGAGGACCGGCUGGGGCAGUCCACCCCAGGGCGGAGGCGGGGGAAAGGGCUGAGAGAGGGGAGUGAGGGACCAGGAGCGCAGCAGAGGCUGGAGAUUACGAGCCCAGGAAUGGGGUCGCCCCAUGAAGCCAGGAAGGGCUGUCCUUAUUUAAAAAAAGGCAGGGCGUGCGGAGCAUGCGGAGGUGAUUUGCAUAAAGAGGAGGGACUUACAGACGCUAGGACACCGGUUGGCUGAGGAGGCGGGGCUCCGGCGUCGGCCGUUGAUACGUGUAGAGGAGGCGGGAAUGCGGCGCCGGCCGGCCGGGCGGUUGGGACGCAGAAUUUACACGACGGACUGAGGAGAAAGAGGUGGAGCGUGCGUCCUGCGUAUGUGGAAAGAUGGAAGCGGAGAGACAUAGGGCGGCGACAGUGGAGGGAAGCGAUGGAAGAUCCGUGGUGUUUUUAACGGAGGAGAAGGGGAGAGAUGAUAGGUGCGGGAAAGAUUAGCUGCCGGUGGGCGGAGCUUACGUAGACCGGGGAAGAGUCGCGUCCUUUCGCGAGGGGUGAAAGCCCUCCUUUUAUUAAAUUACGUCAUGCAAAUGAGGCGGAUAGACAGGCCAAUCCAAGGGUACAGGGGAGCGUGUCGUCAGCACCACACAGUGUAGGAGUUCUUUGGGUAAUUCUGUUGAUUUGAAUAACGUAUGCAAAUCAUUCGAACAAAGGUUAGGAAUGACCUGUUCACCAAAAUAUCGGCAACCAAUGGCUAAGAUGAACAUGUAUUUUUAUAACCUGUUUUUUUUAUUAUUGUGGUGAGGAUACUUGUAUUUUUAACGUUAGUGCCAAUUUGUAUUCAUAAUGGGUUUUACAAUAUGCAGUAGUACUGGUAUUUCCCCCCUUUGUCUGCUGUUAACUGACUGUAGAACCUUCUGCUCCAAUCAGACCUAUUACCCCGUCAACAAAUAUAUUUUGAAGGCUUACUCAGUUCAGUGUUAACCAUGGAGAUAUGCACAGAAUGUUAAAGAAGUACGAAAACCAAAACCAAAUCCAUUGCCUUCCAGUCGAUUAUCUGACCAUACUUGGUGAGGUUUAGAAAUGCUUCGAAUAAUGUGAGUGUUUGUUGCAGUUAUGAAGAACUAGUUAGAACUUAGCCAGGUUUGAGGAGACGGGUACAUAUCUCAAGCCUAGUGAACAGAUGAAUGAAGGCAUGGGUUUGGGGACCCAUGCUUAGGCUGAUGUGGUUAAAUAAAGGAACUGCUUUUCUGUUAUUGUAGAUGAGGGUGGAAAAGUUAGCAGGAAUCAGAUAUGAUUUUUUUCCUGUGGUACACUAAGAUAUUUAAGAUGACGUCACCUCUCAAAUUUCAAAAUGAUUCUCUGUCCCCUCUACCCGGCCAGCUACCACCUCGUUUCUUUGCUUGCCUUUGCAACAAAGCUUCUUGGAAAAGCUAAGCAUACUGUCUCCAGUUUUCUUUCCUUUCACUGUCUCUUAAACCCACUCCAGUCAUGCUUUCACCCCCACCCUCUACCAAAACUGAGUUGGUCAAGGACAUCCAGUCUUGUGACUUGAAAUAAGAUUUAUAUAUACUCUCAUGACUUCCAAAGGUGUAUCUCCCAGACCUGUGCCUGGAACUCUGAACUUGCAUAUGUAGCUAUGUACUGGACAUCUCCUCUUGGGUAUCUAACAGAUCACGUCAAAUUCAGAAUAUCCAAAACUCUGGUCCCUCAAAAUCUCUUCUAUCCACAACCUUCAUCUCAGUUGAUGGCAAUCUGAAAAAAAUCCAGUUAAGCCAAAACCUUGGAAUCCUUACUGACGCCUUUACCUCACUCCCCACUUUCAGCCAGACAGGAUAUUCUAUCCUGAGAAAAUAUCCAGAAUCCAACCUCUUCACUUCCACCUUAACCUGAGCCAACCUCAUCGCUCACCUGUGUUACAGCUUCCUAACUGAUCUCUCUUAUUCUACCUCUGCUCCCACAGCCUCUUCUUUACACAACAGCUAGAGUGGGCCUUUUCUCAAAAAAAAAAACUCUUUUGCUCAAAGCCCUUCGGUGGCUCCCCAUAUCUCUCAGAAUAAAAGCCAAAGUCCUUACAGUGGCCUACAAGGCCCUAGCGAUCUGGCCCCAAUCAUGUCUCUGACUUUACUUCUUAUCACUUUCCCUACCUGCUACUAGGCAUGGUCUCACCCUGGGGCCUGUUGACUUUUCUGUCUGCACAGUUGACUCUUCCCCAAGAAAUCCUUUACUCUGAUAACACCAGUUCUUUGAUUCAUUCACCCACUCAUUUGAGUUUUAAACUCAAAUUGGAAGUUUAUGAUAUGUUAGGAACUGCAGUGUAAGUCAUAUUAUCCUCAUUUUCAGGUGAAACACUCAUAGAGGCUGAGUAAUUUGCCAAAGUUACAAAGCUUGUAGUGGUGGAGAAUGUUGGCUCAAGGUUGGCUCACUUGCUCUUUGUGAAACUGACCAAGGGUCUGGGGGAUGUAUUUUUUUCUGUGCAUGUCUUUUCUUUCCACCUAAAUUUCUUAAGGACAGGCUUCUUAUAGAUCUGAAAUGCCAAUCCAUGCUCCAAACCAUCUACACCUAUUAGUAGACACACUAUGGAAUUGUUGAUGGAUUGCUUAUAUGGGCAAAUCCUUGCUGUUCUUCCCUUGAAGGUGCUUCCUCUUCUACUAACCCAGGGGAAAAAAAAUCACCCCCCAAAAGACCAAGCUGACCGGAUCUGGAGGAGGAGGGUCCACCUAAAUUCCUUAAGGACAGGCUUCUUAUAGAUCUGAAAUCCCAAUCCAUGCUCCAAACCAUCUACACCUAUUAGUAGACACACUAUGGAAUUGUUGAUGGAUUGCUUAUAUGGGCAAAUCCUUGCUAUUCUUCCCUUGAAGGUGCUUCCUCUUCUACUAACCCAGGGGAAAAAAAAUCACCCCCCAAAAGACCAAGCUGACCGGAUCUGGAGGAGGAGGGUAAUUUAUUUAAUUUACAGCUUGAUUCCGGCUCACAACUGGAGACAUUAGAAGCCCCUUCAGUCCCACCUCACCCCCCAAUUCAGGGCAACUCAGAGAUAGUUUUCUUGGCUGGGGGACCUGUUGGCUUCUCCUGUUCUCUCGCUUUCUCCUCAUACAUCAGGAUCCUGGUUGGGAUGGGAAGUGACACAGGGAUCAGGGAGUAUUCCUCUCAAGAGAAUAAUCUUAUUCUGCUGAGAAAGUCCAGGAGAGGGUGGGAAUUGUGAGGGUGAGAGAAGGUGGAGGAGCAGGGAUGGCAGUGUUGAGGGCUGUGAAGAUCAGAAUCAUGGAUGGGGAUGGAUGGGACCUUGGAAUGGUCCAUCUAAAGAUUGAAGAAAUGGAAGCUGAGGUAUAUAUAGAAGGUAAGCCUGGAGAUAGGAGGAGGCAGGGAGAAAAUGGGUAAGUAUGGGGGAGACUGGAACUGGACUCUCACAUUUUUAGGAUGGCAGAUCCCUUGCCCAACAUCAUCCUGAGGAAGUCAGGGUAGCUGAACGUCUCCCCAGAGCCUCUGGACACCUCCUGGAUUAAUUUCUUUAGCUCCAGAUGGGUCUUGGGGACACCAAGUUUCUCCAGCAUUCGCUUCAAGGACAUGAUAUCUGGUGGCAGCAGAUGGGGGAGGGGAGAGGAAGGGCAGUCAACCUCUCUCUCUCUUCCUGCACCCAUCUCCCUGUUCCCAUUCCCUUUCCCCCUACUCUGGUGGGUAAAGUACCUAGGCCAGGCCUCCCCCUUCCUAGGUCUGCACACUCCCCCAAAUCACCCUUUUCUCACCGAUUUCUCCGUCUGCAUUCAGGUCAAACUCCAUGUAUUUCUCUGGGUGGGAGAGAGAGCAGGGAAGGUGAUCCCUGGCUGGAGGGUCACAGGCAGUAGGCAAAAGCUGGGCAGGGGUUGAGGAGGGGCUUGCUGAGAAAGUGCUAGAUGGGGAGAAGAUACCGGAAGGACAAAGCAGGGCAGCCAGAGAAGCAGGAGGGUGGGGUGGGAGGGGGGGUUGGAGGUUGAAGGCCCUGUUAAGGUGUAGGGACCUAGAGGGCGGGCUGAGAGGGGCAGGCCAAGGAGGACUGCACCCUGGGGAGUAAAUUUUGUGCCUCAGUGUCGCCUUUUCCUUUUGUGGAAAUCCUACUCUCUCCCCCAUCCCCUUCAAUUUCCUGCCCCCGCUCACUCUUGAAGGCUUCCAGUUUGGAGGGCAGAUCCUCAUCACUGCUGUAUUUAGGAUCGUCCAGGAAUUGCUGUGUAUGUGUGUGUGGAGGAGACAGUAAGGACGAGGGUAGACCCCUGACACCCCCGCACCCCCUGUCCAGGGCCCCCAUCCCCAGGUCUUGCCCACUUAGUUGUUCUGUUCUUCCUUUUACCUUGUUGAUUUCUUCGAGUUGCUCUUCCUGCUGGGCCUUCAGCUGCCCAAAAGCUUUUCCCCCUGAGGUGGUACAAAGGUUCAUAGACCCUCACCCCAGACCUGCUUCUCUCCUCACUCCCACACCCAGCCCAGUGGCAUCUACGAGUCCACCUUCCUAGGCCAACUAACUGCCCUCCCAGAUGCCCAGCCCAGGGAUGUCCAUCUGCUUGCUCCCAUUUAUACUCCUUCCUGCUCCAUCUUUCUUACCCUGUAAAUCUCUGAUUUGACUCAUGGCUCCCCAGAUGCUGAUAGUUGUAAGAAGACAGACGGAGCUAGCUGGCUGUCUUUUGCUGGCUUGUCUCUCCCACUGGCUUCCUCAGAGGCCUCUGUCCCAAACUUCCCCUUUCUCUUCAUUCCCUCCUCCUCUACCUCCCAGGCCUCACUUCCCCAUUAGCUUUUGCUGACACUAACACCCAGGAAGAAGGGGGAGUCGGGUGUAGAGUAGAGAUGAGAAAAUAACAUUCUCCCAGAUGUCUCUUAAUGAGAGCCCUGUGUGUACACUGAAAAAAUAUUUUAAUAAGCCAUUGGAGGUGUUGGGGAAAGAGCAGUAAGACCUGAAAACCAUAUCCAUUGCCAUCAGAUUGAUUCCAACUCAUGGCAACCCCAUGUGUUACAGAGUAGAACUGCUCUGUAGAGUUUUCUUGGGUGUAAUCAUUAUGGAAGCAGAUAUCCAGGGCCCUUCUUCCACAGUGCCACUGGGUGGGUUCAAUUCGUCUACCUUUUUUUAAACCUGUGCUUCAGGUGAAAGUUUAAAGCUCAAGUUAAUUUCUCAUUCAAAAAUUUAUAGACAUACCGUUUUGUGACAUUAAUUGCAAUCCCUGCAAGUUGACAGCACACUCCCCCUUUCCACCCCAGGUUCGACCAGUUCCUGUCCCUUCCUGCCUUCUCAUCCUGCUUUUGCACUGGAGCUGCCCAUUUGGUCUUGUGUGUCUGACUGAAGCAAGAAGUGCAUUCCUCCCGUGUAUUAUUUUUUGUUUUGUAGUUCUGUCUAAUCUUUGUCUGAAGGGUGGGCUUCGGGAAUGGUUUCAGUUCUGGGUUUAACAGUGCGUCCAGCAGCCGUAGUUUUGGGGGUUCCCCCAGUCUAUGUCAGACAUUAAGUCUGGGCUUUUCACUAGAAUUUGAGUUCUGUUCUACAUUUUUCUCCUGCUCUGUCUGUGAAUCUCUGUUGUGUUCCCUGUCAGGGCAGUCAUUGGUGGUAGCUGGGCACCGUCUAGCUCUUCUGGUCUCAGGCUGAUGGAAUCUCUGGUUUAUGUAGUCCUUUAGUCAGGCUAAUAUUUUCCUUGUGUCUUUGGUUUUCUUCAUUCUCUGCUGCUCCUAGUGGGAUAGGACGAAUUGACUUAUCUUAAAUGGCCGCUCGCAAGCUUUUAAGACCCCAGAUGCCACACACCAAAGUGGAAUGUAGAACAUUUUCUUAAUAAACUUCGUUAUGCCUAGAUGUCCCCCAAACUAUGGUCCCCAGACCCCAGCCCUAGCUACCCUGUCGCUCAAAGUGUUUGGAUAUGUCCAGGAAACUUCUUAGCUUUUGCCUUAGUCUAGUUGUGCUAACUUCCCCUGUGCUGUUGUUGUCCUUCCCUUCACUGAAGUUGAUCCUUGUUUACUAUCUAGUUAGUAACUUCCCCUACCCCUCCCUCCACACCCUUGUAACCAUCAAAGAUUUUUUUGUGUGUGUUUAAACCUUUUCUUGAGUUCUUACAAUAGUGGUCUCAUACAAUAUUUGUCCUUUUGUGACUGAUUAAUUUCAUUCAGCAUAAUGCCUUUCAGAUUUAUCCAUGCCGUGAGAUGUUUCAAAGAUUCCUCUUGUUACUUAUUGUUGCAUAGUAUUCCAUUGUGUGUACGUACCAUAGUUUGUUUAUCCAUUCAUCUGUUGAUGAGCACUUAAGUUGUUUCCAUCUUUUUGCUAUUGUGAAUAGUGCUGCAGUGAACAUGGGUGUGCAUAUGUCAAUUCAUAUGAUGGCUCUUACUUCUCUUGGGUAUAUUCCUAGGAGCGGGAUUGCUGGGUCAUUUAGUUUUUCUGUUUCUAGUUUUUUAAGGAAGUGCCAAAUAGUUUUCUAAAGUGGUUGUACAAUUUUACUUUCCCACCAACAGUGCACAAGAGUUCCAAUCUCUCCGUGACUUCUUUAACUUCUGUUACUUUGUGUUUUUUGGCUUAGUGCCAGCCUUGUUGGGGUGAGAUGGUAUCUCAUUGUAGUUUUGAUUUGUAUUUCUCUAAUAGGCUAAUGAUCAUGAGCAUUUCCUCAUGUGUCUGUUAGGCUCCUUCUUUGGGUGAAGUGUCCAUUCAUAUCCUUUGCCCAUUUUUUUUAAUCGGAUUAUUCGUCUUUUUGUUGUUGAGGUGUUGCAAUAUCUUGUAGAUUUUAGAGAUUAAACCGUUAUUGGAUAUGUCGUAACCAAAAUUUUUUUCCCAGUCUGUAGUCAAACUGUCAACCUUUAGGUUAGUAUUGUGCCACUUAGAAACCAGUAAGACCCCAUAAGCAUUUAUUCUCAAGAACAAAUGGUUUUCAAACAGGUCUUGUGGUUCAGGUAGCUAGAAGGCCCUUCAGUGUGUUGGGUUUUGUGAGUCUGGGCAUACGGGUUUGGAUAGGGAGCUGAGGCAGGGCUGGCUCUUUGGAUGGGCAAAGAAUCUGAAGUCAUCUGGGAGCUCUGAGAGGUGCUAAAAAAAGACUAGUGCAAGGCCUAGAAAAUAGAAACCUCACUGUAUGGUGUAUGGAAAUGUCUAAUGAAGGAGUUUUGAUUUGUUUGCUGCAGGAUGUGCAAUGUAGCCCCCUCAUUUUAUCUCCUUUGAAAUCUUUAGUACAAUCUGCAGAACUCAGCAAUAUGAGGCUUUAAGUAGAGUCUUUGGGGAAAGUGGUGCUAGCCACUAUGGAUUCACCAGAGUGUGUGAGUAGCCUCUGAUAAACAAGGCCUUCCCUAGGCAUAACCUUUAUCCCCUCUGCUGUUCUGUUUGCCUAGACUCUUCUAGAUGCGAGGACAGGAUAUCACCUUCCCUGAGACCUCCUUGUCCAAACUCCCAGCCCAGAACACCAUUCACCCUGCCCCAGCAUUAAUGGAGACACCUUUCCUUCUCCUUCCCCUCCCUAGCCUAUUUCCCCUUUGCAGCUGAAACCAUUUUACUUCUCACUGGCCUCCCCCUAACUCAUGCAAAUGGGGAGAGAAAACUAGAGUAGACUCUGACUUCUUGGCUUCUUUUUAUUGCAUCUGCCUGCUUCCCCUGUAGAGAGAGCUGCAACCCUGCACUUGCAGUGGUUUCAUUGCCUGGUGGGAAUUCAUUAUUUUAUUCCUGUGUUCAUUCAACAAACAUUUACUGAGUGCUUACUAUAUGCCAGCCUUAUGGGCAGCCUAGUCAGGGGACGCAGACAAUAAAAAUAAAUAAAUAUACUAAAGGUAAUAGGUGCUUAUAGAGAGGAACAAAGUUGGAAGGGGGAGGGAAGUGCUAGAGAGAUGGCUGCAGUUUUAAAUAGGGCUAUCAGGAAGGCUUCCCUGAGAAGACAUUUGCGCAAAGAUUUCAAGGGGAGUGGGUGGGAGGGAAAAGCUGUGUGGACAUCUGGGAGAGGACCGUUUUAGGCAGAGGGAACAGCAAGUGCAAAGGCCCGGAGGAGAGAGCAUAUUUGGAUAUCAUGGACUCGCAGGGAAGCUUGUGCAACUAGAGCCAAGUGCAUGAGGGAAAGAGGAGAAGGAGAUAAAGUCAGAUUGGAUAGGGCCCUGUAAGCCAUUGUGAAGACUCUGGCUUUUGUUUUGAGUGAGAUUGCUUCCCACAGUGGACUUCCUAUCAAGGAUGGCUUGGCGGCCUACCAUGGUGGGAUAGAGCUUAGAUGCUCAGAAAAAGUAUCUGGGAUAGAGAAGGUCAAUGUCUGCUCUGACUGUGUGACAGAAGUGAAGGCUUGAGGGUGACUAGAAGGGCAAGAAAGGGGCUCUGGUGGCAAAGUCGUUAAGCGCACAACUCCUAACUGAAAGGUUGUUGGUUGAAACCCACCAGCCACUCCAUGGGAGAAAAAUGUGGCAGCCUGCUUCUGUAAAGAUUAACCAUUGCUGUCGAGUUGAUUCCAACUCAUGGCAACUCUGUAGGGCAGACUAGAACUGGCCCAUAGGGUUUACGGAAGCAGAUUGCCACAUCUUUCUCCUGUGGAAUGGCUGGUGGGUUUGAACUGUUGAUCUUUCAAGUAUCAGAGCACUUAACCACUUUGUCACCAAGAUGCCUUCCCAUAAAGAUUACAGCCUUGGAAACCCUAUGGGGCUGUUCUACUCUGUCCUAUGCGGUUCCUAUGAGUCAGAAUCAACUCGAUGACAAUGAGUUUAAUGGGUUUAGAAGGGCAAGUGGUGGAGAAGGAAACCCAGGGCCUAAACACAGAUAUGAGGAAGGGCUGUGAAGAAUAGACAUGCAAGAAGACACCCUAUCCCACCCAAACUCACAAAUCACAGAGAGGGCUAGCUCACAGUAUGUAGGGGCUGAAGGAGGCGGCGGGGAGGGGGGUCUGGGCAGGGAGCUGCAAGGGUGCGUUGUGUGGCUGCAGCAAGGAACCUACUGAGAACCUGGAAAUAAAGGAAGUAGGUAACUCUCUGUCAGACUGCAAAGUCCAGAUCUGAUCAGAGAUACACAGAAUCUCCUUAAAGCAAUUUAAAAAAAGUUUUUUUUGAUUGUGCAUUAGGUGAAAGUUUACAGAGCAAAUUAAUUUCCCAUUCCAUAGUUUAUACAUGAAAUGUUUCAUAACACUGGUUUCAUUAAAGCAGUGUUUGAUUCUCAAAGAGUGGUCCUUCCACCAGCAUCAGCAUCCCCUGGAAGUGAAAUAGAAAUGCAAAUUGUUGGGCCCUACCCUAGGCCUAUAGAGUCAGAAACUCUGGGGAUAAGGUCCAACAAUCUCCUUUUUUUUUUUUUUUUAAAUUGUGGUUAAAUACAUACAUAACAAAACACCUGCAAAUUCAGCAAUUUUUACGUUUACAAUUCAGUGACAUUGAUUAUGUUCAUCAUAUUGUGCAAGCACUACCACUAUUCUUUUCCGAAUUAUUCUACCACCAUGAACAGAAACUUAGUGCUCCCUAAGCAAUGACUCCCCCUUUCCCACUCCCUGCCACCCCUGGGGAGUCGUUGGGUGGUUAACGUGUUAGGCUUCUAACCCAAAGUUUGGAAAUUGGAGUCCACCGAGAGGCACCUCAGAAAAAAGACCUGGCGAUUUACUUCUGAAAACGUCAGCUAUUGAAAACCCUGUGGAGCACAGUUCUGUGACACACAUGGGGUUGCCACGAGUCAGAAUUGCCACCCCUGGUAACCACUAAUAAGCUUUGGGGUCUAUACGUUUGCCUAUUUGAUGUAAGUGAAAUCAUACAAUAUUUAUCCUUUUAUGACUGACUUACUUCACUCAGUGUAAUGUUUUCAAAGUACAUCCAUGUUAUAGCGUGUAUCAGAACUUCAUUUGUCUUUAGAACUGAUUAAUAUUCCGUUGUAUGUGUGUACCACAUUUUGUUUAUCCCCAACAACCUGCUUUAAACUGGUACCUCAGAUGAUUCUGAUGCGCACUUAAGUUUGAGAGCCACUGCCUUAAAGAAAUAAAGUGGUUCCCAAGCCUGCAAGGCUUGGCUGAACCGUGGCUGAAUGUGUUAAUGUGGCUUAAGAAUAAAGUCAGUGGGUAGUGGGUUAGCCUUGGAGGCAUGAAGAAGAAGUCACCUAGGCCAAGGUUGUCAGUGACCAGCCAAGAAGUCAAGGAAAUAAUGCUGAGGCUGCUCAAUAAAGGGACCUCCUAGUACCCCUUUGAGGAUAGGGCCGCUUGUGGAAUUGGGACCAACUUAGUUGCUAAGAGCCCUUGUUACGAUUCUUUGUUCUCCAGGGAAUCUGCCAGGUAGACUUAGGCCCCAUGGAAUGUGCCUACAGAAAGAGAAUAAGCUGGCCAGAAAGGUGGUCUCUGUGUGUGCCCUGGAUGUCUUCUGUUUGGCCCCUCCAUUUCCCCUCUCCCAGUCUGCACUCUGCCCCAGGACACUAACUUGUACAGACCACAUCAAAGGGCAUCUCUAGCUUCCGGCUGGUUCAGCUGCUGGAGAGGCCCAGCAGGAAGAUGGAGGAGAGAGAACACUGAGUUGGGGUCUUCAUUUCCUUGGCUACCUUCCUGCAAGGUCUUCUGCUGGCUGAGACCUCCACCUGAGGACAGUGCUCCUUUCCAAGAGACUGGCUCCCCAGGGCUCUUUCCCAGGUUUCAGUAGCCCCAGGGAUAGAUUUCAGGUGGUCCGUGAACUCUGACUGGGAAAUAAAAGUACGUCCUUUCCUCACAUCUGAGACAAGUACGUCCUUUCCUCACACUUGCUUUGUCAAAGACCGCUUCACAGUCAAAAGUUCUUAAAGCCAAGCAACAGUAUCCUUUGCACUGCUUUAUCUUUAUUUAUUAAAAUUAAGUUCAACAUGCUUGCGUUUUAAAUGUGUUGUUAUUAAUGCAGUAAUAAAGAAGCCCAUAACUGAUUCUAUCACAAAUAUUUACUAAUAUUUUGAUACUUGGAACUCGAUACAAUUGUUUUAUUGUAUUGUAUUUUAUUUUAUGCUUCACUAGACACCAAAGGGAUUUGUGAUGCGAAACAAGAGCCCCUGAGAUAAACACUCCCUUAUCCCUUUUUUUUCCCCCCCCCUUUGGUCUUGGGGUGGUAAUAGCUCCUCUGCUUCUAAUCCCAGGUUAUAGCUCUAUCCCGUGUGGUUCCCUUACACCCCACAUACCAUUGUAAAUAAACUGUCCUCUUCAAAUUGUGCUAAUUUGAGGGUGUUACCUGUUUCCUUUUGGAACCCUGACUGAUAAAGUGUGAAUAUGUGUGUAUAAGGGGGGGGGUGGUUAGGGAGACUAGGGGAAAAGGAAUGGACCCUUGCUGUUUCACUUUGUAAAUGAACAAAAGGGCAUCCUGGUGUAUGCACUGGGCUCCCGAGCUUGGUUAACAGCUGUCCCUAAGGAGGGAAAACAAGUCAGGAUUCAGAGCCUACAAGGGGCAGUCCUGUAGGAAGAUAAAGAACUCGCCAAUAUUGCUGUUCCCAGAAGCUUUUCCUUUUCUAAAAAGGGUCCAUGUAGGACUUUGAAAGGAACAAUGGCAGCAGCUUAUUUUGAAAUCCUCCCUCUUCACUCCUGGAAACCAUAUACCGUAGAGCAAUAAAGAGAAUGGAAACACACACACACACACACAUCAUUUUCAGUGAAAGUAGAAGACAGAAAACCUACAAGCUCCAAAUUAUGCAUAUGUGUGACCAAAUGCCAAGCUGGGCAGGCAGUCCCUGCUAGUGCUUCAGGGAAGAGCAGAGAAGGAGGGGGGCUUCUGAUAAUAGUAGUAAAUAUUCAUUCCAGGGAGGACAGGCCUCACUCUGAGAGGGAAGUGCUGAGAGCAGGACUGACUGAACAGAUUCAAAGGCUAAGAUACGUCAAGAAUGUUUUACAAAGUGAGUGAAGGGAUCCACCAUCACCUGUCUGUUCAUUUGUCACACUGUCGUGGCUUUGCAUGUUACUGUGAUGCUGAAAGCUAUGUCAAUCACCAGUAUUUCAAAUAUCAGCAGGAUUGCCACGGUGGAAAGGUUUCAGCAGAGCUUCCAGAUUAAAAUUGACUAGGAAGAAAGGCCUGGUGAUCUACUCCUGCAAAUUAGUCAAUGAAAACCUUGUGGAUCACAACAGAACAUUUUCUGACUUGCUUGCUUUAGACAUGUCGUUAGGAGGGAUCAGUCGCUGGAGGAGGACAUCGUGUUUGAUGAAGUAGAGGGCCUUCGAGAGCAGAGGAGGCUCGUGGUGAGAUGGAUUGGCCUAAUAGCCACAACAAUGGACUCCAACAUGGUAGUGGUCAGGAGGAUGAUGCAGGACUGGACAGUGUUUUCUUCUGUUGCGCGUAAGGUCGCCAUGAGUUGGAGUCCACUUGAAGGCAUCUGUCACCUAUCUGUGUAUAUAAAGAGGCCCAGAAGUGGCAGAUCUCAGAAUGGGUCAGCAAAAUU
Loxodonta africana (African savanna elephant) is the source of this 12816-nucleotide long non-coding RNA. RefSeq lists it as uncharacterized. The record is from RefSeq and is a predicted model, not a curated record. NCBI's taxonomy places the organism in Eukaryota, Metazoa, Chordata, Mammalia, Proboscidea, Elephantidae. The transcript is spliced from 2 exons.